AUUUCCUCCUGAAGAAAAGACUGGCCAGACUCCAAGAAACCAGCAACAUUCAUCUUCUGAGGAUAUAGCUGUUCAUGUAGACAAGGAGGUCUGUCGCCAGAUGGACUCGGUCUUCAAGGAGCUUAUUUCGCGUCAAACACUGCAGGAACCCUCCUCCACCGUCUCCUCAUCCUCAGCCCAGGCUCCCCAAAGGAAAGGGAGGCGGGGUGAUGGACGCAGGGAGAAAUGACCAGGUCUCUUCAAAGCAGCAGAUCCAUGGGACUGAGAGGACAGGGGAUAGGAAAAGAGACAGAGCGGUGAUGUUAAUGAAAACUGAAGUGUGGCUCGAAGGGCUCUGACAGCAGCUUUCAGCACAUCUAUUUCUAGAAGUCAGAUCACUGACCCAUAGUCCUUGUCUGAAGUCCCUGCGUUUGGUUCAGGCUUCUCUCCACAUGAUGGCGCCAGACUCAAGAGCUCUUUCAUUUUUGUUUUGUACAGUGGAUCCCAUUUGUGACUGCAGAGCUGCAGUACAAUAUAGAAACUGAAAUACUUGAAAUGCACUGAUUUGUUUGUGUAAAGCUGUGUGGUUGUGCAGCUUUAUUUCUGCAUCGGUGUUGGUGUUACUAUUCAACUGUUUCCAGUUAAAGUCAGAUUUUAUCAGUGAUUUUUAGUGCACAUACACAUUUCUACAAGUUCAAAUGUCUCUCAAACUGAGGUGGAGUCACAAAGUUGCUAAAGCUGUGAAUGCUGUAGCUGUAAGGAAUUUGUAUAUAUUGCAAUAUUUCUAACUUGUUUCAAACUUUUAUGAUUUGUCUGUAGACUACAUAACAAAUAAAUAAUUUGUCUGUUCUCAUUGCUUUUUUAAAAAAAAUCACGAGUUCUGGAUAUGAGUGCUGAAAACAGGAAGUAUAACUUGUAUUUCUCCCACAUUAGUCUUGAUUAUUUCAAGUAAAAUUUUGACAUUUUGGCCAG
Molecule: long non-coding RNA, 951 nt
Organism: Amphiprion ocellaris (clown anemonefish)
Lineage: Eukaryota; Metazoa; Chordata; Actinopteri; Pomacentridae
Source: Ensembl